UACAGAGGGUGCAAGCGUUAAUCGGAAUUACUGGGCGUAAAGCGUGCGCAGACGGUUGCGUAAGUCAGAUGUGAAAGCCCCGGGCUCAACCUGGGAAUUGCAUUUGAGACUGCGUAGCUAGGGUGCGGAAGAGGGAAGCGGAAUUUCCGGUGUAGCGGUGAAAUGCGUAGAUAUCGGAAGGAACACCAGUGGCGAAAGCGGCUUCCUGGUCCAGCACCGACGUCAGGCACGAAAGCGUGGGGAGCGAACAGG
This 252-nucleotide ribosomal RNA is filed under the name uncultured bacterium. RNAcentral describes it as "partial 16S ribosomal RNA". It matches the Rfam family "Bacterial small subunit ribosomal RNA", at positions 524 to 776 of the family's 1533-position model. The record is from RNAcentral.